AUGAUGGUAGCGGACGGGUGAGUAACGCGUAAAGAAUCUGCCCUACAGUCUGGGACAACAGUUGGAAACGACUGCUAAUACCGGAUAUUAUGAUUUUGCCGCAUGGUGAGAUUAUGAAAGCUAUAUGCGCUGGAGGAGGACUUUGCGUCCCAUUAGUUAGUUGGUGAGGUAAUGGCUCACCAAGACAGUGAUGGGUAGCCGGCCUGAGAGGGUGAACGGCCACAAGGGGAUUGAGACACGGCCCUUACUCC
RNAcentral lists this ribosomal RNA (251 nucleotides) under uncultured bacterium. RNAcentral describes it as "partial 16S ribosomal RNA". It matches the Rfam family "Bacterial small subunit ribosomal RNA", at positions 89 to 339 of the family's 1533-position model. The record is from RNAcentral.